Molecule: non-coding RNA, 2624 nt
Organism: Nothobranchius furzeri (turquoise killifish)
Lineage: Eukaryota; Metazoa; Chordata; Actinopteri; Cyprinodontiformes; Nothobranchiidae
Source: RefSeq, a predicted model, not a curated record
AUAUCUCAAAUUAAUAUGUAGAAUGGUUCCUCUUUCAUAAAAGAGCCAUAAACCAUUACACUACAUAAUAUUUAACUACCAUGUUGGGUCACAACACUGGAUGUGUAACAACGUUGUAAGUGUUCUUCUAAAUAAACCAAGUUUGAAAACAUUAAGUCAUGGACAAGCAGACGUUGCAUGUUGGGCUGGAAGAACUUAAAGUGCAGCUCGUCAUUCAAAUCAUGAAAAUGUCACAUGAUGAGAUGUUUGUAGGUUUUAGAAUAGUAAACCUGUCAGGACAGCUUCUACCAGGACCAGAAGCUUUCAGAAGAGCGCCGACGGUCUGAAGCAGAGCCUGUUUGGAGCCGACACCAGCAAAACGGGUCAAAUUGCUCCCGCGGGUAAAAGCAGCUUCGUUCGGCGCCUCAGACUUUCACUGAAAGUGACAGAACCCAGUCAGGAGAUCGUCUGAGUCUGAGAUGUUGACAACAACUCGUCACACAGAAGAAAACACACACAUGCAAAUCUGUUCUUUACAGUUACAGUUAAAAAUGCUUUUUGAUGUAAACAGAAGGGGCUUUGCAGUUUUAGCAUUUGAAACACAACAAAUUGUAUUUCCAACUGAAACGACGUUCGGGGCAGUCUCUGUACAAUAGCAUGCUCUGAGAGACAGAUGCCUUAUUGGCUGCUGGCACUGUCAGCACUGUUCCCUCUAACACACUUAUGAUGUACUACUGGCAAAUUUGAGCAAUAUUCUAGCUGUCUGGCACAGACGAACAUGUUCUGCCCAGGAGAGGCCAUUGUACCAGUCGUCUCCUCCUGCUGCGCUGCAGAUAAUUACAUCCAGCCAGGCCAGCCGCAAAAUUAAACUGUACCGUGAAGAACGCUGGCCCUCUCUACGGUGAUGUAUGAGGCAGUGGAGUCUCUCUGGCUUUGAUUUCAGAGGCAUUCACAGGGAAUAGGUGAAACUACAGAUAUAUUGUAUGGAGGUUUUUUAGUUUGGCUUGUGCUAGAAAUGAAAUCUAUUGAGCUUAUCUGAAUGGAAAACAGAACACAGCCAGAUGUUUUUAUUGUUUUAUUUAUUUAAUCACUCUGAAUAUUGACUUGUCUUCAGUCAAAUGUAGAACUACUCUAAAAGCACAUCCUCAACUAUAUUACAUUGUGAAACUGUUUACUAAACACCACUACAUUCAUUCCAGGCACUUAUGCUGCCCUUUACAGCACUCUAAUCACAAAUGUUUGGAGCUUACCAUAAUUUCCAGACUAUAGAGUGCACCACAAUAUAAGCCGCACCUACAAGGUUUAAAAAAACACAUGGAACUGUACUUAUACAAGCCGCACCGGGCUAAAAGCUGCAGAUAUCUACUGAAUUGAAAACGUAGUUUAACUGAACGUAACUGAACUGAUCAGUAUCAAACAAAACAGAAAAGUUAUUGAUUAGUUUAUUCAUCGUCCUCCUGCGCACUAAAGCCAUUAAAAUCCUCUUCUUCAGUGUCAAAGUUGAACAGCCUCCGAAGAGCUUCGCAGUGUUGGGAACGUUACUUUAAAAAAGUAAUUAGUUAUAGUUACUGAUUACUUUGUCAAAAAAGUAACUCAGUUACUAACUGAGUUACAAGAUUAUAAAAGUAACUAAUUACCACGAAAAAUAACUACUUAGUUACUUUUUUCAUUAAAGCAUGCAAGAAUUACUGCAAUAGUGAAAAAUAAAUGUCUAAUUACUGGAACAUAAUAAAAUGUAUGUCCAAAUGUUUUUUAUAAACAUGAAUAAUUUAAAUAAAUAAGCACUUAAAGGCACAGUCCGCAGGAUGACGCCGUCAGGGUGAGGAGGAGAUUUUUAAAUUCGAACGGCUGUUGCUCACUCCCCCGCCCUUCCUGAAAGAGCCGAAAGCCACACCUCCCAAUGUGCACGCGCAGGAAAAGCAGAGUCAACAUCGGAGCAUUGCUUCUUGUAAUAGAGCUGAGCUAGUGUUAGCAAUGGAGUUAUCUGAGAGUUCAGUGAUUGAGGAAUCCUCUGAGGAAGAGUUUGAACCUCCUAUUGCAUCCUCAAGACGUGGUGCAAAAAGGAUGCCCACCAUCAUCUCAAAGCCGUGGUGCAUCCAGAGGCUGCGGUGCAUCCAGAGGCCGAAGAAGUGUGAGACACUCAGCUGUGGACCUUGGAGAUGAUCUCUCUCGAGUUCGGAAUCUUUGUUCCGAGCGAAUAGACUUUGAACGUGUAAGCAUAACUGUUGCUGUAGCAUCUCUUUCCACUUUUGUAGCAACACAUACAGAACCUGAACCCUCAGCAGGCUAUUGACAUCCUUACCAUGGUGCUGGACAGACACUGGUGUUCUCUUUGAUGUACUUGCCCUCUCUGGUCCACCUGCCACAACACCUCCAACACCCAAUCAACCUUCAUGGUGUGUAUGCUCCCACUGCAGAGAUAUGCCAACUGAUUUGGAAAAGAAAUGCUGCCAACAGCCUCCCCAGACAUGUAUUUCAACUGUACCACACAUGGAGUUUAUUCUGCAAAAUUCCCUGACCCCAAUGGUAACUACACUGGUUUUAUUCCAAGACGAUUGUAAAUAAAUGUAUAUAUUUGAUAUUUUACAUAAGUUUGUUUUUAUAUAUUUUUGUUUGAUGCUCUAAUAAAGUGUUCUAAAGCACAA